AUACUUACCUGGACGGGGUCUAUGUGCGAUCAUAAAGGCUCAUGGCCUAGGUAGGUGGCCUCCAUUGCACUUGAGGAGGGGUGCCCACCUAACAUCUUCCCAAAGUGGAAGAGUGCACGUCAUAAUUUGUGUUAGUGGGGGUCUGCGUUCGCGCAACCCCUG
Non-coding RNA from Beta vulgaris subsp. vulgaris (sugar beet), 162 nucleotides. The record is from Rfam. Lineage: Eukaryota; Viridiplantae; Streptophyta; Magnoliopsida; Caryophyllales; Amaranthaceae.